Molecule: ribosomal RNA, 1209 nt
Filed under: Triticum aestivum (bread wheat)
Lineage: Eukaryota; Viridiplantae; Streptophyta; Magnoliopsida; Poales; Poaceae
Description: partial small subunit ribosomal RNA
Source: RNAcentral
AUGGACGCCGGAGCUCCCCUCUCCAGCUCCGCUGCGCUGCACCCCUGCUCUCCCGCACGUCCUCCUCCGCCGCCACAGCUUACUCCUCAGCCGCUCCCUCCUGCCUCGCGUAGCUCCCCUGACCCCCUUGCCUGCCUCCCGAAUCUCCCCUCUUUCACUCCAAAAAUCAUUUCUUCUCCUCCCGCCGUGUCUCCUGCUCGCGUGCGGCGACGGCACGUCCCCCUCGUCGACCCCGCCUCCGGUCGCCGCCUCGGCCGUGCGCCCAUCUCCUCUCGUUCCAUCUGCGGCGAGCCGGAUUUGGGCCUCAACGAGAAGGUCAGCUUCCUUUCUCUGCACGAGCACGCGGAGGCCGCGGCCCUCACGGACGCCGUCGAGCAGGCCGCAGGUCCACAGAUGACGGACGCAGUAGUACGUCCUCGGGCCUCCUACUCGUGCGAGGCAGGAAUGCAUGGCGACGGCGUGGACGCCCCCUCCGUGGUCACCACGCCGGGGGGAGGUGGUGGCAACACAGCAGCUCGAGCUCGCCUUCCUCAACCCCAGCACCCUGACCCUGAGGCGAAUGUGGAUGUUGCACAAUAUUGUGAAGGUGUAGCACUGCUCAAUUCAAUUUCCACUGCACAUAUCUACUUCAAUUUCUACUACAAAUUCACCUUUUCAACAGCAGACGCGGGGCAGAGAAGUCAGACGGCAAGGAGGAGCAGCAGCAUCAGACGGCGAGGAGGAGCAGAAGCAUCAGACGGCGAGGACUCGAUCGGGGGCGUUGGCGUUGCCCAAGAGCAGCAGCAUCAGAGGCUGGAGGGAAUCGCGGCGGCCGCAGAAGGAAGCGGCGGCCAGCGACUUGCCCAAAUCCCGCACCGGCGGCCGCGGGCGCGAGGAAGCGGGCAGAGGAUGAGGGCGCGGGCCGCACCGGCUAGGGACGCGAGCAGGGCGACAAAGGAGGUGCCGUCAGCCGUGGAGGAGGCGGGCGUCCAGUUGGUCGCCGCGGAGGAGCAGUCACCUCCGUGUGGGCGGCGGCGCAGCUCGCCUUCGUGCAGGCGGCACAGGUGGGCAGGGGCGCCGCGGAUUGGCAGCGGCGGCGCAGGUGGGCGGUGGCGCAGCGGCGACGCAGGUGGACGGCAGCGCGCUGGGCUCUACGGUGGCUGCCGACGGCGCGCUGGGCUUGUUCCUGCCGUGGGCGUCCGGAGGAGGAAGAAGCAAAGGGGUAAUUAG